This 158-nucleotide unclassified non-coding RNA is filed under the name uncultured Hirsutella. RNAcentral describes it as "sequence contains ITS1". The record is from RNAcentral. Lineage: Eukaryota; Fungi; Ascomycota; Sordariomycetes; Hypocreales; Ophiocordycipitaceae.
UCGAGUGUUUAGAACUCCCAAACCCACUGCGAACCACAGCGUCGUUGCCUCGGCGGACCGCCCCGGCGCCCUCGGGCCCGGACCAAGGCGCCCGCCGGAGGGACCACAAACUCUUGUAUCUGGAUGCAUUGCUCUGAGUAAACAAGCAAAAUGAAUCA